Ciona savignyi (Pacific transparent sea squirt) is the source of this 91-nucleotide non-coding RNA. Lineage: Eukaryota; Metazoa; Chordata; Ascidiacea; Phlebobranchia; Cionidae. The record is from Rfam.
GCUUAUCACCAUUCCAGAUUGAAUAUACCCGAUCUCGUCUGAUCUCGGAAGUCAAGCAAUCUCGGGCUUGGUUAGUACUUGGAUGGGUGAC